AGUGAACGCUGGCGGUAGGCCUAACACAUGCAAGUCGAACGGCAGCACAGUAAGAGCUUGCUCUUACGGGUGGCGAGUGGCGGACGGGUGAGGAAUACAUCGGAAUCUACUUUUUCGUGGGGGAUAACGUAGGGAAACUUACGCUAGUACCGCAUACGACCUACGGGUGAAAGCAGGGGAUCUUCGGACCUUGCGCGAUUGAAUGAGCCGAUGUCGGAUUAGCUAGUUGGCGGGGUAAAGGCCCACCAAGGCGACGAUCCGUAGCUGGUCUGAGAGGAUGAUCAGCCACACUGGAAGUGAGACACGGUCAAGACUCCUACGGGAGGCAGCAGUGGGGAAUAUUGGACAAUGGGCGCAAGCCUGAUCCAGCCAUACCGCGUGGGUGAAGAAGGCCUUCGGGUUGUAAAGCCCUUUUGUUGGGAAAGAAAAGCAGCAGGUUAAUACCCCGCUGUCCUGACGGUACCCAAAGAAUAAGCACCGGCUAACUUCGUG
Molecule: ribosomal RNA, 492 nt
Filed under: uncultured bacterium
Lineage: Bacteria
Description: partial 16S ribosomal RNA
Rfam family: Bacterial small subunit ribosomal RNA
Source: RNAcentral